GAUGACUGUAAGUCUUCUUGUAGUUGCUAUUGUAUUUUACAUCAAGGAUAAUAUUUCACAUGACUCUGACUUGUAUGACAUCUUAAGUAUGGUGUCCUUGGUUGGUGUCAUGGCUUAUGUCAUUGCCUUAUCCUUCGGUAUGGGUGCCAUUCCUUGGAUCAUAAUGUCUAAGGUAUAGUACCUUAAUGCACAGCGAAGAUAUAUCAAUACAUGCCUUUCUCCCAGUUUUAGGUUUCCGCUGAAGAGCACUGUUCAGAUCCAUAAUUCUAGAGCAAGUGCUCUUAGUAAUAUAGGCUUUAAAGCAAUCUGAAGGUUUACUUCAAACUUUGCAUUUUUGUAAAUCCUCCAGUUAGCAUCAAGAGUCUUGCAGGAAGCUUCGCGACCCUUGCCAACUGGUUGAGAUCCUUUGGAAUAACAAUGACGACAAAUUUGCUGAUCAGCUGGAGUGCUAGAGGUAUGUAUAGAUUUGUGCAGCUUAUCUCGUGUAUAGAAUAGGAGAACCAUCAGACCUUACACAGGUUACCCUUGUUUCCAAACUAUACAGGUACGUUUACCUCCUACAUGAUUGUGAGUGCCUUCACUCUCGUGUUCGUAAUCGCUUGGGUGCUAGAGACAAAGGGAAGAACCCUCGAAGAGAUACAAUGGUCGUUUCGCUGAGCACCAGCAUCGUCAAAAUGCGAAAUGGUUCUUCGAGUUUUGUCGCUUUAGAUACUCAAAUCACUCGAUGAAGGUCACACAUUCUUUCUGUUCAUAAAAGGUCUUGUACAUGAGAUUGCAUACACCGUUGUUUUAACUUUACACCAAUAGACUUGUAAAUGCUUGUGCAGUAACUCUUAUAUUACUUUUUCUUCAACAUUGUAAGAUAGAAGAUUGUUGCCAAAAUAAAAUCUGAACCUUGGGUCCAAUAUUCCAUGUAAACACGAGCAUGUUUCCUGAUCAAUCAAAA
Molecule: RNA transcript, 946 nt
Organism: Zea mays
Lineage: Eukaryota; Viridiplantae; Streptophyta; Magnoliopsida; Poales; Poaceae
Gene name: sugar transporter pseudogene
Exons: 4
Source: RefSeq, marked validated